GUCAGUGACAAUUCCACCUUGACAAUGCUCAAUUUUCUGUAAUGUGGAAAGCUAAGCAGGGUUGAGCCUUGUUAGUUCUUGGAUGGGAGACUGCUGGGAAUACCAAGUGCCACAGUGG
RNAcentral lists this ribosomal RNA (118 nucleotides) under Periophthalmus magnuspinnatus. Lineage: Eukaryota; Metazoa; Chordata; Actinopteri; Gobiiformes; Gobiidae. The record is from RNAcentral.